UAGGGAAUCUUCGGCAAUGGACGAAAGUCUGACCGAGCAACGCCGCGUGAGUGAAGAAGGUUUUCGGAUCGUAAAACUCUGUUGUUAGAGAAGAACAAGGACGUUAGUAACUGAACGUCCCCUGACGGUAUCUAACCAGAAAGCCACGGCUAACUACGUGCCAGCAGCCGCGGUAAUACGUAGGUGGCAAGCGUUGUCCGGAUUUAUUGGGCGUAAAGCGAGCACAGGCGGUUUCUUAAGUCUGAUGUGAAAGCCCCCGGCUCAACCGGGGAGGGUCAUUGGAAACUGGGAGAAUUGAGUGCAGAAGAGGAGAGUGGAAUUCCAUGUGUAGCGAUGAAAUGCGUAGAUAUAUGGAGGAAAACCAGUGGCGAAGACGGCUCUCUGGUCUGUAACUGACGCUGAGGCUCGAAAGCGUGGGGAGCAAACAGG
Molecule: ribosomal RNA, 429 nt
Filed under: Gemmatimonadota bacterium
Lineage: Bacteria; Pseudomonadati; Gemmatimonadota
Description: Gemmatimonadetes bacterium partial 16S ribosomal RNA
Rfam family: Bacterial small subunit ribosomal RNA
Source: RNAcentral